RNAcentral lists this ribosomal RNA (751 nucleotides) under uncultured bacterium. RNAcentral describes it as "bacterial SSU rRNA". It matches the Rfam family "Bacterial small subunit ribosomal RNA", at positions 60 to 771 of the family's 1533-position model. The record is from RNAcentral.
AGUCGAGCGAGUCUGCCUUGAAGAUCGGAGUGCUUGCACUCUGUGAAACAAGAUACAGGCUAGCGGCGGACGGGUGAGUAACACGUGGGUAACCUGCCCAGGAGAUCGGGAUAACACCUGGAAACAGAUGCUAAUACCGGAUAACAACAGAUGAUGCCUAUCAACUGUUUAAAAGAUGGUUCUGCUAUCACUCUUGGAUGGACCUGCGGUGCAUUAGCUAGUUGGUAGGGUAACGGCCUACCAAGGCGAUGAUGCAUAGCCGAGUUGAGAGACUGAUCGGCCACAUUGGGACUGAGACACGGCCCAAACUCCUACGGGAGGCAGCAGUAGGGAAUCUUCCACAAUGGACGCAAGUCUGAUGGAGCAACGCCGCGUGAGUGAAGAAGGGUUUCGGCUCGUAAAGCUCUGUUGUUGGUGAAGAAGGACGGGGGUAGUAACUGACCUUUGUUUGACGGUAAUCAAUUAGAAAGUCACGGCUAACUACGUGCCAGCAGCCGCGGUAAUACGUAGGUGGCAAGCGUUGUCCGGAUUUAUUGGGCGUAAAGCGAGUGCAGGCGGUUCGAUAAGUCUGAUGUGAAAGCCUUCGGCUCAACCGGAGAAUUGCAUCAGAAACUGUCGAGCUUGAGUACAGAAGAGGAGAGUGGAACUCCAUGUGUAGCGGUGAAAUGCGUAGAUAUAUGGAAGAACACCGGUGGCGAAGGCGGCUCUCUGGUCUGUUACUGACGCUGAGGCUCGAAAGCAUGGGUAGCGA